CACGUGCCCAGAUACAAAGCACACUGCUGUCAAUGGCGUCCCUUCGUAUUAUAGCAACAUCUGUGUUUGCAGUUGUCCUGUUGAAAGGUGUUGAGGGAGCAGUGAGUGUAUCAGGGUCAGGAGGUACAGGGAUACCCAACCAGCAGACUCUGACACUGAGAUGCAGCUACACUGGGACACCUGGUGAUAU
This is a long non-coding RNA of Haliotis rubra (blacklip abalone), 190 nucleotides long. RefSeq lists it as uncharacterized. The record is from RefSeq and is a predicted model, not a curated record. The transcript is spliced from 3 exons. NCBI's taxonomy places the organism in Eukaryota, Metazoa, Mollusca, Gastropoda, Lepetellida, Haliotidae.